RNAcentral lists this ribosomal RNA (243 nucleotides) under Triticum aestivum (bread wheat). Its description in RNAcentral is "partial small subunit ribosomal RNA". Lineage: Eukaryota; Viridiplantae; Streptophyta; Magnoliopsida; Poales; Poaceae. The record is from RNAcentral.
UCUUCACGAAAAGGAGGGGGAAAUCCAAGACCCAUACAGUAUAUGCAAGCAUUCCAAGAGGCUAUUGAUGACUGUGAACUGCAUGAUAUUGGGUAUACUGGAGAACCGUUUACAUGGUUCAGAGGCAGAAUAAGGGAGAGAUUGGAUAGAGAAUUGGCAAAUGAUGGUUGGACUGCAAUGUUUCCUAAUGCUUUGAUCCAGAACAUGGAAUAUAAUCAUUCGGAUCAUAGGCACUGUGCUUAG